Molecule: transfer RNA, 79 nt
Filed under: Vibrio alginolyticus
Lineage: Bacteria; Pseudomonadati; Pseudomonadota; Gammaproteobacteria; Vibrionales; Vibrionaceae
Also listed under: 2 other names
Description: tRNA-Arg
Source: RNAcentral
UAACUCUUAUUUAGGGGGUUAAAAGAGCACGUCCCUUCUAAGGAUGUGGUCAUUGGUUCGAAUCCAAUAGGGCGUGCCA